RNAcentral lists this transfer RNA (72 nucleotides) under Bos taurus (domestic cattle). It matches the Rfam family "tRNA". Rfam says of the family: Transfer RNA (tRNA) molecules are approximately 80 nucleotides in length. Their secondary structure includes four short double-helical elements and three loops (D, anti-codon, and T loops). The record is from Rfam by way of RNAcentral. RNAcentral also lists the same sequence under 3 other names. Lineage: Eukaryota; Metazoa; Chordata; Mammalia; Artiodactyla; Bovidae.
UCCCUCAUAGCUCAGUCAGUAAAGCAUCUGCCUGCAAUGCAGGAAACCUGGGUUCGAUUCCUGGGUUGGGAA